GAACUGAAGAGUUUGAUCAUGGCUCAGAUUGAACGCUGGCGGCAGGCCUAACACAUGCAAGUCGAGCGGAUGAAGGGAGCUUGCUCCUGGAUUCAGCGGCGGACGGGUGAGUAAUGCCUAGGAAUCUGCCUGRUAGUGGGGGAUAACGUCCGGAAACGGGCGCUAAUACCGCAUACGUCCUGAGGGAGAAAGUGGGGGAUCUUCGGACCUCACGCUAUCAGAUGAGCCUAGGUCGGAUUAGCUAGUUG
RNAcentral lists this ribosomal RNA (248 nucleotides) under Pseudomonas aeruginosa. RNAcentral's name for it is "partial 16S ribosomal RNA". It matches the Rfam family "Bacterial small subunit ribosomal RNA", at positions 1 to 251 of the family's 1533-position model. Lineage: Bacteria; Pseudomonadati; Pseudomonadota; Gammaproteobacteria; Pseudomonadales; Pseudomonadaceae. The record is from RNAcentral.